CCCUUAGAUGUUCUGGGCUGCACGCGUGCUACAAUGGCGCUUGCAACAAGUCUUACCAACCCGAUAGGGUGAGCGGAUCUUUGAAGAGGCGUCGUGAUCGGGACAGUUGAUUGCAAUUAUUCGACUCGAACGAGGAAUUCCUUGUAAUCGCGAUUCAUCAUAUCGCGCUGAAUACGUCCCUGCCCUUUGUACACACCGCCCGUCGCUCCUACCGAUUGAGCGAUCCGGUGAAUGUUUUGGACUGGCGUCAGAAGCGGUUCGCUCCUGACACUACGAAAUUUUGUAAACCUUAUCGCUUAGGGGAAGGAAAAGUCGUAACA
This 320-nucleotide ribosomal RNA is filed under the name uncultured eukaryote. Its description in RNAcentral is "partial 18S ribosomal RNA". It matches the Rfam family "Eukaryotic small subunit ribosomal RNA", at positions 1470 to 1796 of the family's 1831-position model. The record is from RNAcentral.